UUUAUCAGGCUUCUCUUCAUCACGUACAAAUCUUUCGCCUUUUUACUAAACAUUUCCGUGGAGACGGGUAUCAAAAAGCUUACAAUAUUUUUGGGGGCUCUGUUUCUUUUUGGGGG
The sequence is a small nuclear RNA, 116 nucleotides long. Its record names the gene U5. It matches the Rfam family "U5 spliceosomal RNA". From Rfam's summary of the family: U5 RNA is a component of both types of known spliceosome. The precise function of this molecule is unknown, though it is known that the 5' loop is required for splice site selection and p220 binding, and that both the 3' stem-loop and the Sm site are important for Sm protein binding and cap methylation. The record is from Ensembl.